This 1500-nucleotide long non-coding RNA is filed under the name Apteryx haastii (Great spotted kiwi). RNAcentral describes it as "lncRNA (ENSAHAG00000008343.1)". The record is from RNAcentral. Lineage: Eukaryota; Metazoa; Chordata; Aves; Apterygiformes; Apterygidae.
AUGGAUGGAGCUGAGGCGCUGAGCCUCCAUCGCCCUCCCUUGGCCACGGCACCGUGGGGACGAGCCCAGGUCAGCGGGGCUCCCGGCCACUCUUCGUGCCUCAGUUUCCCACCAACACCGGGCACGGUUUGGGGAGCACCCGCAGCCGCUAGGGGGGGCUCGGUGGUGCCAGGGUGGCCCCACCACUGCCGAGGGGCUGGCAGCACUGAGCCCCCCCCUCCUCGCAGUUGUUCCCGGUCCCCCCUACUGCCACUGGAGCUGCGGCCCCCAUCGUCUGCACCUGCCCCGGGUGCAGCAACUGCCGCAGGCGCCUGCUGUGCGCGGGGCCCCCACAGCUGUCCCCAAGGCUCAGCGUGGGGCUGCCUCCCCCCCCCCCGCCACGGCUGUCCCGGCUCUGGCCGGGGGACGGAGCAGCUGGCGGCGGGGGCUGCGUCCGCCGGCAUCCGGGGGACGUGCGAGACGCGGUCCCUGGAGAUGCCGCCGGCUGCUCCUAGCGGAGCCCGAAGCACAAAGUCAUCGAGGGCGAAGGGCUCUGGCGCCCGGGGGGGCUUGUGGGGAUGGGAAUCAGGGCGGGUGGGGGGUGCCGGGCUGCCUGCAGCGCCUCGGGGAAGGCAGCUGCUGCGGGGCCGCGGCGCGCGGGGCCGAGCCGAGCCGGUGCGGGCACGCGCGCGCGCGAGCGGGAGGCAGCUCAUGCGCACACGGCUGCCGCCCGUGUCCUCAGAUGAGCCCGUGCCCGCAGGGAGCCGCAGAGCUAAAUGCAGCGCAGGCUGCGGCGCCUGCGUCACGGCCCGCGGGCCCGCCGUGGGCCCGCGCCACCCGGGGCCUCCCUCCCUCCUUCCCGGCUGGGGCGCCGAGCCCCCGCCGUACGCGCCGCGCGUACGCUGGGCUCAUCUACGGGCGCGCCAGCACGGAGCUCACGCGGGCACACGUGUGUGCACGCACGGGUGCGCAGCAGCAGCCACCCACGGAGGAACACGUGUGGCUACGCACGCGGGAGAACACGCGAACACGCUGCUGUUCCCUGCACGUGCCCCGGCACUGGUCACACGCGUGUGUGCCAUGCCAAUCCUGUGCCAAUCCCGUGCCCAUGUGAAUGUACGCGGGGGUACCGAUUCCUUACGCACCCCCCCACGCACCCCCACGCACAGUGGGAGCUGGGGGGGUCCCGAGGUGACAGGCGACAGCGCCCUGUGGCUCUGCACGGAUGGCAGCGGGCGCUCCCGGGGCCAGCCCCCCCCGUCCAUUAGCAACAUGGUGGCACCGGUGACCCCCAGGGACCGUGACCCGACCCGUAGGAGAGAUCGGGGUGUCACAGAGCGCCCCAGCUCAGCUCUGCCCACUUCCCAGGCCCCCCCCGCCCCCCGCAGCAGUCAAAUGAGCGAGACCGGGGGCCGGGUGGGUUUUUCAUUCACUUUUCCGCAUACUUUUUAUUUGUUACAAACAUACAAUUCUUUAAAUAUAGACUGUAAAACUCCAUUUUGCAAAAAUCUGCUACGGUAA